ACCAACUUGAAUGAUUAAAAUCCAAACUUUUGUAAAUUAAGAAGAAGUAGAAAAUACAUAACCUCGUUCAACAGAAAAUGUUUAGGUGCAUGAGCUAUCCAUCCAAGGAUUGAAUACUUUUGAGUUCCAAAAGAGAGUACAAAAUUGAUUUUUGCAUCUCAUUUGCCUUCUCCUUUUCUCCUCUUGAAUUCUAAACUAUAAAUUACAAAACUUACUUGAAAAUGAAAACUCUAAACUAAGAAAUGAAGAAAGGACUUCAAAAUCAGAGAAUUCCUUCUUUCAAGUGUUUUUAAGAGGAUUUUAUGAUGAAAUGCUCAAUUACAAUCUGUUUUGCU
This 335-nucleotide long non-coding RNA is filed under the name Lupinus angustifolius (narrow-leaved blue lupine). Its description in RNAcentral is "long non-coding RNA (LANG_LNC002121)". Lineage: Eukaryota; Viridiplantae; Streptophyta; Magnoliopsida; Fabales; Fabaceae. The record is from RNAcentral.